AGAGCGAACGCUGGCGGCAGGCCUAACACAUGCAAGUCGAGCGCCCCGCAAGGGGAGCGGCAGACGGGAGAGUAACACGUGGGAACGUACCCUUUGGUUCGGAACAACACAGGGAAACUUGUGCUAAUACCGGAUAAGCCCUUACGGGGAAAGAUUUAUUGCCAAAGGAUCGGCCCGCGUCUGAUUAGCUUGUUGGUGAGGUAACGGCUCACCAAGGCUACGAUCAGUAGCUGGUCUGAGAGGAUGAUCAGCCUCACUGGGACUGAGACACGGCCCAGACUCCUACGGGAGGCAGCAGUGGGGAAUAUUGGACAAUGGCGCAAGCCUGAUCCAGCCAUGCCGCGUGGAUGAUGAAGGCCCUAGGGUUGUAAAGUCCUUUCGACGGGGAAGAUAAUGACGGUACCGUAGAAGAAGCCCGGCUAACUUCGUGCCAGCAGGCCGC
This 442-nucleotide ribosomal RNA is filed under the name uncultured bacterium. RNAcentral describes it as "SSU rRNA". It matches the Rfam family "Bacterial small subunit ribosomal RNA", at positions 26 to 518 of the family's 1533-position model. The record is from RNAcentral.